UCCUAGAAUUGACGGGUUUAG
This 21-nucleotide small nuclear RNA is filed under the name Arabidopsis thaliana (thale cress). Its description in RNAcentral is "snRNA_10530". Lineage: Eukaryota; Viridiplantae; Streptophyta; Magnoliopsida; Brassicales; Brassicaceae. The record is from RNAcentral.